AUUAGUCUUUUAAUUGGAGACUGGUAUGAAUGGCUUAACGAGAAAUUAACUUUUUUUACUAUAUAAUUUGAACUUAAUCUUUUAGUGAAAAAGCUAAAAUGUUUCAGAAAGACGAGAAGACCCUAUAGAGUUUUAUAUUUAUUUAAAUUUUUUCUUAAUAGAUUUUUAAAGUACAAAUUUAAUAAAAUAUUUUGUUGGGGCGACAUUAAGAUAUAUAAAACUCUUUAUUUUUUAAAUUUUUAUGAAAAUAUUUACAUGAUCCUCUAUAAGGGAUCAAAAGAAAAAAUUACCUUAGGGAUAACAGCGUAAUCUUUUUUAAGAGUUCUAAUCGACAAAAAGGUUUGCGACCUCGAUGUUGGACUAAAAUUUAGGCAGGGUGCAGCAGUUCUGCUUUUAGGUCUGUUCGACCUAUAAUAUUUUACACGAUCUGAGUUCAGACCGGCGUAAG
Molecule: ribosomal RNA, 448 nt
Filed under: Cantellius sp. 1 MPL-2014
Lineage: Eukaryota; Metazoa; Arthropoda; Thecostraca; Balanomorpha; Pyrgomatidae
Description: partial 16S ribosomal RNA
Rfam family: Bacterial large subunit ribosomal RNA
Source: RNAcentral